AGCAAAAAUGACAAUUUCACUUCCUACUACUUGACCGGUGGUUGUCUUAGCAACGCUUACACAGCACAGACACAACCGGAGGCAGCCGUUGGUGAGGACCAUAAACUGUGAUGGAGAACAAUACUUUGCACCAAGACCCAGAUGAUGCUCAAAGCUUGAUGGCCAAUGAAGACAUUAAAGAGGAGACAACAGUUCAAGCGGGAGGAGAAUCUGAAGAGGAUCGUGCAGAAGCUUCGGUUUCACCUGUAAAAGACAGAACGGAUGCAGAGAAAAACCUAGAAGAAAACAGAUCACACAGUACUCUGUCUGAAGCAGAUACGAAAGAGCAGUUUGUCUUUAAUGAAAAAGGCACACAGAUAUUGAUAAAUCCCACAAGGAGUAUAAACACGCAGACAGACGCCACACUGCAUUGCAGCUUCUCUUCUAAUGUUAAUCAGUGGGUGAUAUAUGAUGCUUACAAAAAAGAGCUUAAGAAAAGACAAGAGCAGGAGGGUGGACACCUACUCAAGGAAAAUAGUGACACGGGCAGAAAGAAAACACUGCUGAUGGAAACCAAGAUUGAUGAGCUUUCUAAAAUCCGUGAGUCAUGCAAGUUAAUGGAGCGAGCUGUCGUUCAAAAUAGCCUCUGUGACAUCGCAAUAGAUUUUAAAUUCUAUGAAGAUCCCUCUGAUGAGUUUAUAGGCCAUGAGGGAACCCUGAUGCCUUUGUGGAAUUUUCGGUACAAAGGAACCAAACACCUGACGGUUAGUGCCCUCUGCUGGAAUAGGCGAUACUUGGACAUGUUUGCUGUUGGAAUGGGAACUGAGGACUACUUUGAUCAGCAAUGUGGUGGCAUGGUUCUCAUCUACUCACUGAAGAACCCCACUUACCCAGAAUAUGCCUACAAAACAGCCUCUGGCGUCAGGUGUGUCGAUAUCCACCCGCAUAAGUCCUACUUGGUGGCAGCAGGCUUCUAUGACGGCAACGUGGCCGUCUACAACUUGAAGGUGGAGAAACUGAAGCCUGUGUGCGCGUCCAGUCCAGAAACUGGGAAGCACAUGGAUCCAGUCAUACAGCUGUGCUGGCAGAAAGAUGACAUUAACAACAACCACAAUUUCUACUCUGUGUCACUUGAUGGUCAAAUUGUAUCCUGGACGCUGGUUAAGAAUGAGCUGGUUUUUGCCGUCAAAACCAAACUGUCACUGCAAAACCCUUUCACUGAGGGAACAGGAAAUGAAAUCCUCAAAGAGGUCUUCUCCAAAGUUUCUUGCACAUCAAUUGACUUCCAUAAAGACAUUCCCAAUCUGUUCUUAGUUGGAACGCUAGAGGGAAUGAUACUAAAGUGUUCUAUGACAUACACCGGCCAUCCCAUGGAGGUCUAUGAUGCUCACCUGCUUUCAGUUGGAACUGUCAAAUGGAACCCUUUCCAUCCAAAAGUAUUCAUCUCUUGCAGUUGUGACAUGACAGUGAAGAUCUGGGACCACACUGUCACUACUCCAAUUUCCAACAUUGACCUAAAAGAACCUGUUGAGGAUGUUGCGUUUUCGCCACACACCUCCACUGUGUUUGCUGCUGUGACCAGAAGGGGAACAGUUUACUUUUAUGAUGUCAGCAUCAGCAUAUAUGAGGCUAUCUGCCAGCAGGAAGUGGUGAACAAAAGGAAAGGCCAGUUGACCAAACUGGAGUUCAAUCCAAUUCAUCUCAUCAUCAUAAUUGGGGACGGAAAAGGCUGCAUCCACAGUUUCAAACUGUCUCCAAACCUCCGCAAAAGACCCAAGAACAAGAAGGGACAGGAGAUCCCCAUAGAUCCACAAGAGGAAGUCGGCAAGUUGGAGAAAUUUCUCAUCUCCAGACUGAAUGCACGCCAAAGUGCACCAUGAUGCCGCUGCUCUGCCCACAACAGCAGUACGGCUGUGGCUGCAGGAGCUCCCCGCCAGCAGAGGUGGAGUAUCAGGGGGAGGAGCUGAUGUGAUGCAAGACGAUGUCAGUGGUGGUGGGGACAGAUUUUGGAAUCACAGAUCAAAAAACAGGGGUGUCCGGUCCUGAGGCCAUCUUUCCAGACUGUAACGCCACAUGAUUCUUCUUUUGUAUCUGGAUAAGCUUCUUUAUUUAAUGUUUGCUCUUCACACAUUUCAUUCAUUCCAAAAAGACUGUUAUGCUAUUUUUCGCUAAAGGUUCAAUCUCAGGACUUGAAAAUUUGUAUUAAAAUGACUGUAAACAUUUUGUUUUGACAACAUUUUGACAAAUAAAGCAGAUUUUCUCGAA
This is an RNA transcript of Oryzias latipes (Japanese medaka), 2244 nucleotides long. It is a transcript of the gene named dynein, axonemal, intermediate chain 1, paralog 2, with no coding region annotated. The record is from RefSeq and is a predicted model, not a curated record. NCBI's taxonomy places the organism in Eukaryota, Metazoa, Chordata, Actinopteri, Beloniformes, Adrianichthyidae.